Molecule: ribosomal RNA, 492 nt
Filed under: uncultured bacterium
Lineage: Bacteria
Description: partial 16S ribosomal RNA
Rfam family: Bacterial small subunit ribosomal RNA
Source: RNAcentral
AGUGAACGCUGGCGGUAGGCCUAACACAUGCAAGUCGAACGGCAGCACAGUAAGAGCUUGCUCUUACGGGUGGCGAGUGGCGGACGGGUGAGGAAUACAUCGGAAUCUACUUUUUCGUGGGUGAUAACGUAGGGAAACUUACGCUAAUACCGCAUACUACCUACGGGUGAAAGCAGGGGAUCUUCGGACCUUGCGCGAUUGAAUUAGCCGAUGUCGGAUUAGCUAGUUGGCGGGGUAAAGGCCCACCAAGCCGACGAUCCGUAGCUGGUCUGAGAGGAUGAUCAGCCACACUGGAACUGAGACACGGUCCAGACUCCUACGGGAGGCAGCAGUGGGGAAUAUUGGACAAUGGGCGCAAGCCUGAUCCAGCCAUACCGCGUGGGUGAAGAAGGCCUUCGGGUUGUAAAGCCCUUUUGUUGGGAAAGAAAAGCAGCAGGUUAAUCCCCCGCUGUUCUGACGGUACCCAAAGAAUAAGCACCGGCUAACUUCGUG